RNAcentral lists this small RNA (670 nucleotides) under uncultured fungus. Its description in RNAcentral is "eukaryotic LSU rRNA". The stretch from base 282 to 435 matches the Rfam family "5.8S ribosomal RNA". The record is from RNAcentral. Lineage: Eukaryota; Fungi.
CGUACCAGGUUUCCGUAGGUGAACNUGCGAANGAUCAUUAUUGAAUACGUUGGGUUUCUGAUGCUGGCUCUUCACUGAGCAUGUGCUCGUUCCCUUCUAUUUAUCUUCUCUUGUGCACCUUUUGUAGUCUUUGAAGAAGUAAACCUUUUCGCAGCAAUGCGGUUUGGGGGCAUGGUCCAUCUGCCUCUGCUUGCUUUCUUCAAGGCUAUGUUUUCAUAUACACUAUAAAGUUACAGAAUGUCUUUUAACGAUUGUGCUAGUCGCAGUCAUUAAACCUAUACAACUUCCAGCAACGGAUCUCUUGGCUCUCCCAUCGAUGAAGAACGCAGCGAAAUGCGAUAAGUAAUGUGAAUUGCAGAAUUCAGUGAAUCAUCGAAUCUUUGAACGCACCUUGCGCCCUUUGGUAUUCCGAAGGGCAUGCCUGUUUGAGUGUCAUUAAAUUAUCAACCUUGCUUGCUUUUAUUGGCUUGCUCGGCUUGGAUGUGAGGGCUUUGCUGGCUUCCUUAAGUGGAUGGUCUACUCCCUUUAAAUGCAUUAGUGGGAUCUCUUGUGGACCGUCACUUGGUGUGAUAAUUAUCUAUGCCAGUUGACUUUGAAGCAAAACUAUGGGAACCUGCUUAUAACCGUCCGCAAGGACAACUUCUUGACAUUUUGACCCUCAAAUCAGGUA